AAUGAACGCUGGCGGCGCGCCUAAUACAUGCAAGUCGAGCGAGAAGACGUAGCAAUACGUUUGUAAAGCGGCGAACGGGUGAGGAAUACAUGGGUAACCUACCCUCGAGUGGGGAAUAACUAGCCGAAAGGUUAGCUAAUACCGCGUACGCUUCUUGGACUUCGGUUCAGGGAGGAAAGCGAUGCCGAGGGUAUCGCGCUCUUGGAUGGGCUCAUGUCCUAUCAGCUUGUUGGNGAGGUAACGGCUCACCAAGGCUUCGACGGGUAGCUGGUCUGAGAGGACGAUCAGCCACACUGGCACUGCGACACGGGCCAGACUCCUACGGGAGGCAGCAGUAAGGAAUAUUGCGCAAUGGGCGAAAGCCUGACGCAGCGACGCCGCGUGGGGGAUGAAGGUCUUCGGAUUGUAAACCUCUUUCAGCUCCGACGAAGCGAAAGUGACGGUAGGAGCAGAAGAAGCACCGGCCAACUACGUGCC
This 477-nucleotide ribosomal RNA is filed under the name uncultured bacterium. RNAcentral describes it as "bacterial SSU rRNA". It matches the Rfam family "Bacterial small subunit ribosomal RNA", at positions 29 to 509 of the family's 1533-position model. The record is from RNAcentral.